AACGAACGCUGGCGGCAUGCCUAACACAUGCAAGUCGAACGAGACCUUCGGGUCUAGUGGCGCACGGGUGCGUAACGCGUGGGAAUCUACCCUUGGGUUCGGAAUAACUCAGAGAAAUUUGAGCUAAUACCGGAUGAUGUCGCAAGACCAAAGAUUUAUCGCCCAAGGAUGAGCCCGCGUAGGAUUAGCUUGUUGGUGAGGUAAAAGCUCACCAAGGCGACGAUCCUUAGCUGGUCUGAGAGGAUGAUCAGCCACACUGGGACUGAGACACGGCCCAGACUCCUACGGGAGGCAGCAGUGGGGAAUAUUGGACAAUGGGCGAAAGCCUGAUCCAGCAAUGCCGCGUGAGUGAUGAAGGCCUUAGGGUUGUAAGCUCUUUACCCGGGAUGAUAAUGACAGUACCGGGAGAAUAAGCCCCGGCCUAACUCCGUGCCAGCAGCCGCGGUAAU
This 449-nucleotide ribosomal RNA is filed under the name uncultured bacterium. RNAcentral's name for it is "bacterial SSU rRNA". It matches the Rfam family "Bacterial small subunit ribosomal RNA", at positions 29 to 524 of the family's 1533-position model. The record is from RNAcentral.